ACGAACGCUGGCGGCGUGCUUAACACAUGCAAGUCGAACGGAAAGGCCUGCUUUCCCUUGUGGAUUGCGGGUACUCGAGUGGCGAACGGGUGAGUAACACGUGAGUGAUCUGCCCCCAACUUGGGUAUAAGCCUGGGAAACUGGGUCUAAUUCCCGAUAGGACUGCAGGGUGGUGCCUGUGGUGGAAAACGAUUUUCUAGUGGUUGGGGAUGAGCUCGCGGCCUAUCAGCUUGUUGGUGGGGUAAUGGCCUACCAAGGCGGCGACGGGUAGCCGGCCUGAGAGGGUGGACGGCCACAUUGGGACUGAGAUACGGCCCAGACUCCUACGGGGGGCAGCAGUGGGGAAUAUUGCACAAUGGGCGGAAGCCUGAUGCAGCGACGCCGCGUGGGGGAUGACGGCCUUCGGGUUGUAAACUCCUUUCGACCGCGAGGAAGCCACCUGGUUGGAAGGGUGGUGACGGUAGUGGUAGAAGAAGCACCGGCUAACUACGUG
RNAcentral lists this ribosomal RNA (493 nucleotides) under uncultured bacterium. Its description in RNAcentral is "partial 16S ribosomal RNA". It matches the Rfam family "Bacterial small subunit ribosomal RNA", at positions 29 to 507 of the family's 1533-position model. The record is from RNAcentral.